This 491-nucleotide ribosomal RNA is filed under the name uncultured bacterium. RNAcentral's name for it is "bacterial LSU rRNA". It matches the Rfam family "Bacterial large subunit ribosomal RNA", at positions 1064 to 1559 of the family's 2925-position model. The record is from RNAcentral.
GGGGAAACGAAGUGGGAAGGCUAAAACAGUCAGGAUGUUGGCUUAGAAGCAGCCAUCAUUUAAAGAAAGCGUAAUAGCUCACUGAUCGAGUCGUCCUGCGCGGAAGAUGUAACGGGGCUAAGCCAGUUACCGAAGCUGCGGAUUUGCAAUUUAUUGCAAGUGGUAGGAGAGCGUUCUGUAAGCCUGUGAAGGUGCGUUGUAAAGCGUGCUGGAGGUAUCAGAAGUGCGAAUGCUGACAUGAGUAGCGUUAAAAGCGGGUGAAAAGCCCGCUCGCCGUAAGCGCAAGGUUUUCUACGCAACGUUCAUCGGCGUAGAGUGAGUCGGCCCCUAAGGCGAGGCAGAGAUGCGUAGUUGAUGGGAAACAGGUCAAUAUUCCUGUACCGAUGUGUAGUGCGAUGUGGGGACGGAGAAGGUUAGCUCAGCCAACUGUUGGAUAUGUUGGUUCAAGCCUGUAGUCGUGCCUGGUAGGUAAAUCCGCCGGGCUUAGAUGA